RNAcentral lists this transfer RNA (81 nucleotides) under Fistulifera solaris. It matches the Rfam family "tRNA". Rfam says of the family: Transfer RNA (tRNA) molecules are approximately 80 nucleotides in length. Their secondary structure includes four short double-helical elements and three loops (D, anti-codon, and T loops). Lineage: Eukaryota; Bacillariophyta; Bacillariophyceae; Naviculales; Stauroneidaceae. The record is from Rfam by way of RNAcentral.
GCAUCAAUGGCCGAGUGGUUAUGGCGUUGGAAUCAGGAUCCAAUCUCUUCGGAGUCGUGGGUUCGAAUCCCACUUGAUGUA